RNAcentral lists this ribosomal RNA (509 nucleotides) under uncultured bacterium. RNAcentral describes it as "bacterial SSU rRNA". It matches the Rfam family "Bacterial small subunit ribosomal RNA", at positions 791 to 1299 of the family's 1533-position model. The record is from RNAcentral.
UAGUCCACACCGUAAACGAUGGAUGCUAGCCGUUGGGCAGUUUACUGUUCAGUGGCGCAGCUAACGCAUUAAGCACACCGCCUGGGGAGUACGGUCGCAAGAUUAAAACUCAAAGGAAUUGACGGGGACCCGCACAAGCGGUGGAGCAUGUUGUUUAAUUCGAAGCAACGCGAAGAACCUUACCUACACUUGACAUACUCGUCGGGAAUUGCAGAGAUGCUUUUCUUCGGUUCGGCCGGACGAUGUACAGGUGCUGCACGGCUGUCGUCAGCUCGUGUCGUGAGAUGUUUGGUUAAGUCCAGCAACGAGCGCAACCCCUAUCGUAUGUUACCAGCAUUUAGUUGGGGACUCAUGCGAGACUGCCGGUGUUAAGCCGGAGGAAGGUGGGGACGACGUCAAGUCAUCAUGGUCCUUACGUGUAGGGCUACAAACGUGCUACAAUGGCUACUACAGUGGGCAGCGAGGUCGCGAGGCCAAGCUAAUCCCCAAAAGUAGUCUCAGUUCGGAGU